This 245-nucleotide ribosomal RNA is filed under the name Vaucheria litorea. RNAcentral describes it as "partial Bacterial small subunit ribosomal RNA". It matches the Rfam family "Bacterial small subunit ribosomal RNA", at positions 325 to 587 of the family's 1533-position model. Lineage: Eukaryota; Xanthophyceae; Vaucheriales; Vaucheriaceae. The record is from RNAcentral.
CACGGCCCAGACUCCUACGGGAGGCAGCAGUGGGGAAUAUUGGACAAUGGGCGCAAGCCUGAUCCAGCCAUGCCGCGUGAGUGAUGAAGGCCCUAGGGUUGUAAAGCUCUUUCAGCGAGGAGGAUAAUGACGUUACUCGCAGAAGAAGCCCCGGCUAACUUCGUGCCAGCAGCCGCGGUAAUACGAAGGGGGCUAGCGUUGUUCGGAAUUACUGGGCGUAAAGCGCACGUAGGCGGAUCGUUAAG